GAUGAAGAACGCAGCGAAAUGCGAUACUUGGUGUGAAUUGCAGAAUCCCGUGAACCAUCGAGUUUUUGAACGCAAGUUGCGCCCGAAGCCAUUAGGCCGAGGGCACGUCUACCUGGGCGUCACACGUCGUUGCCCCUCCCAACCCCUUCGGGAGUUGGCUGGGACGGAUGAUGGCCUCCCGUGCGCUCCGUCGCGCGGUUGGCAUAAAUAACGAGUCCUCGGCGGCCAACGCCGCGACAAUCGGUGGUUGUCAAACCUCGGUGUCCUGUCGCGCGCGCGUCGUCCGGGGCUUUUUCCAAUCUAAUGCGCGUCGAUUCGUCGGCGCUUUCAACGCGACCCCAGGUCAGGCGGGGUUACCCGCUGAAUUUAAGCAUAUCAAUAAGCGGAGGA
RNAcentral lists this unclassified non-coding RNA (390 nucleotides) under soil metagenome. RNAcentral's name for it is "partial contains 5.8S ribosomal RNA, internal transcribed spacer 2, and large subunit ribosomal RNA". The stretch from base 1 to 122 matches the Rfam family "5.8S ribosomal RNA", at positions 35 to 154 of the family's 154-position model. The record is from RNAcentral.